UACAGAGGUCUCAACCGUUGUUCGGAUUCAUUGGGCGUAAAGGGUGCGUAGGCGGUCGCGCAAGUCGGAUGUGAAAUCUCAGGGCUCAACCCUGAAACUGCAUUCGAUACUGCGUGGCUAGAGUGCUGGAGAGGAGACUGGAAUUUACGGUGUAGCAGUGAAAUGCGUAGAUAUCGUAAGGAAGACCAGUGGCGAAGGCGAGUCUCUGGACAGCAACUGACGCUGAGGCACGAAGGCCAGGGGAGCAAGCGGG
Molecule: ribosomal RNA, 253 nt
Filed under: uncultured bacterium
Lineage: Bacteria
Description: partial 16S ribosomal RNA
Rfam family: Bacterial small subunit ribosomal RNA
Source: RNAcentral